CCAUGAAGCGUAUAAUAACCAACCUAGCAUGAAUCGUGCUUGUAAAUAUUCGUUUUCUAUUUGAAUUAGGGAUAGAAUUCUAGUCAGUUAAGGAGUCAUCUGUACGGGGCUAUAAAUAGCUACCUUUGUAAAUCUGUAAUCAUCAACAAAUCAAUACAACCAACUACUUUUUCCUCGUACUUACUUUCAAGCAGGCGACUUUGCCAGAUACUUUCUCCUUUUUCACGAGUUUGUAC
RNAcentral lists this long non-coding RNA (236 nucleotides) under Setaria italica (foxtail millet). RNAcentral describes it as "long non-coding RNA (SITA_LNC004540)". The record is from RNAcentral. Lineage: Eukaryota; Viridiplantae; Streptophyta; Magnoliopsida; Poales; Poaceae.